AGUGAACGCUGACGGUAGACCUAACACAUGCAAGUCGAACGGCAGCACAGUAAGAGCUUGCUCUUACGGGUGGCGAGUGGCGGACGGGUGAGGAAUACAUCGGAAUCUACUUUUUCGUGGGGGAUAACGUAGGGAAACUUACGCUAAUACCGCAUACGACCUACGGGUGAAAGCAGGGGAUCUUCGGACCUUGCGCGAUUGAAUGAGCCGAUGUCGGAUUAGCUAGUUGGCGGGGUAAAGGCCCACCAAGGCGACGAUCCGUAGCUGGUCUGAGAGGAUGAUCAGCCACACUGGAACUGAGACACGGUCCAGACUCCUACGGGAGGCAGCAGUGGGGAAUAUUGGACAAUGGGCGCAAGCCUGAUCCAGCCAUACCGCGUGGGUGAAGAAGGCCUUCGGGUUGUAAAGCCCUUUUGUUGGGAAAGAAAAGCAGCAGGUUAAUACCCCGCUGUUCUGACGGUACCCAAAGAAUAAGCACCGGCUAACUUCGUG
Molecule: ribosomal RNA, 492 nt
Filed under: uncultured bacterium
Lineage: Bacteria
Description: partial 16S ribosomal RNA
Rfam family: Bacterial small subunit ribosomal RNA
Source: RNAcentral